RNAcentral lists this ribosomal RNA (387 nucleotides) under uncultured bacterium. RNAcentral describes it as "bacterial SSU rRNA". It matches the Rfam family "Bacterial small subunit ribosomal RNA", at positions 28 to 417 of the family's 1533-position model. The record is from RNAcentral.
AUUGAACGCUGGCGGCGUGCUUAACACAUGCAAGUCGAGCGGUAAGGCCCUUUCGGGGGUACACGAGCGGCGAACGGGUGAGUAACACGUGGGUGACCUGCCCUCAGCUCUGGGAUAAGCCUGGGAAACCGGGUCUAAUACCGGAUAUGACUCCAUGACGCAUGUUGUGGGGUGGAAAGCCUUGUGCGGCUGAGGAUGGGCCCGCGGCCUAUCAGCUUGUUGGUGGGGGAUGGCCUACCAAGGCGACGACGGGUAGCCGGCCUGAGAGGGCGACCGGCCACACUGGGACUGAGACACGGCCCAGACUCCUACGGGAGGCAGCAGUGGGGAAUCUUGCGCAAUGGGCGAAAGCCUGACGCAGCGACGCCGCGUGAGGGAUGACGGCCU